AUACGGAGGAUCCGAGCGUUAUCCGGAUUUAUUGGGUUUAAAGGGAGUGUAGGUGGGAUAUUAAGUCAGCUGUGAAAGUUUGGGGCUCAACCUUAAAAUUGCAGUUGAUACUGGUUUCCUUGAGUACGGUACAGGUGGGCGGAAUUCGUGGUGUAGCGGUGAAAUGCUUAGAUAUCACGAAGAACUCCGAUCGCGAAGGCAGCUCACCGGGCCGGAACUGACACUGAUGCUCGAAAGUGCGGGUAUCAAACAGGAUUAGAUACCCUGGUAGUCCGCACAGUAAACGAUGAAUACUCGCUGUUUGCGAUACACGGUAAGCGGCCAAGCGAAAGCGUUAAGUAUUCCACCUGGGGAGUACGCCGGCAACGGUGAAACUCAAAGGAAUUGACGGGG
RNAcentral lists this ribosomal RNA (393 nucleotides) under uncultured bacterium. RNAcentral's name for it is "partial 16S ribosomal RNA". It matches the Rfam family "Bacterial small subunit ribosomal RNA", at positions 523 to 918 of the family's 1533-position model. The record is from RNAcentral.